This is a long non-coding RNA of Onychostoma macrolepis, 855 nucleotides long. RefSeq lists it as uncharacterized. The transcript is spliced from 3 exons. The record is from RefSeq and is a predicted model, not a curated record. NCBI's taxonomy places the organism in Eukaryota, Metazoa, Chordata, Actinopteri, Cypriniformes, Cyprinidae.
GUAUCAUUCCAUCCACCUUUCUCAUCUACAAGACAUUCAGUCAACAACUUUCAUGGGGAUAUUAGCCAAAAUUAAGGGCACUUUUACUGUAGACAGGCCUAAAUUUUGAAUUUGAAAGUGUCAAAAAGCUUACUGUUUUUGUUGAAGUCCCAGUAGACACACUUGACAGCGUCCCAAUCCUAUAGAGAAAGAAACAGUGGUGAAAUAUUACUUUAAUGAUCAGACUGUAAAUCUAUGAUAAUGUCAGGGGUUAUCAUAAUCAAUUAAUUACAGCUGCCUCGUUUUCAUGAGAAGCUAUUCUUAGGAAGAUAUUUGUUGACAAAAGAUAGCAUGCAUUUGGUAGCUUAUAUUAUUAUGGUAACUGUUUACUAUAGUUUGUUUCAACAGCUGUAUAACAGGACAAUAAUGAUGCUGAAUUGAUUUGGGGUUUGUUUUGGUGUUGGCUGAUUGUAUCCAUACAGACCUCUUUGUUUUGGAGAUGACGGAGAGUGACCAUCACUGGGAUCUCAAGGUUGCUUACUGUGGCAUUGGUGACGCUGGCAGAUACUACAUAAGAGUUCAGCUUCAUGACGGCUGUAGAGUCCUAGAUGUUAAAAGUCUGCCAUCAGAAGGGUGCUAUCAUUCAGUAAGGAGGACACCUCGAAUGUGAGGCCAUGGAACUGAGAGGUGUCAGGGUUGAUCAGCUGAAGUGCUAAUGAAGGUGCUGUCAUGUUAUGAGAGUCUCCCUCGAACACCGUCUGUCUCCCAUAAGGUGUGUUUGAUUAGGGUUGGAACUAAACUCUGCAGGACUGUGCCCUCCAGGACCGGGCAAUUCUUAUAGAAGUUGGUGACAGUUCAAUAGGAAAUAAGUUGAAU